Physcomitrium patens is the source of this 1017-nucleotide non-coding RNA. The record is from RefSeq and is a predicted model, not a curated record. NCBI's taxonomy places the organism in Eukaryota, Viridiplantae, Streptophyta, Bryopsida, Funariales, Funariaceae.
UUGGGUCCCUAAAGAAUGGGCAACAACAACAAUGACAUGGUCUUGUCCCUCUUUAAUACCCCCCAAAUAUAUAUCCACAUGCACACACACACACACACACACACAUAUAUAUAUAUAUAUAUAUUUUUGGUCACAAACAAAUCAUUGAUACUUGUUAGUUAGUUAGGUAGUUUGUUUUUGUUUUUGUUUUUUUCAAUUUUGGUGAUAGUCUUUAUUUAAAGCAUCAAAGUGUGAUUCAUGAAAAGACAAAUUUUAGCAUGUUGGUAAAAGAAAAUGUGCUAUAGAUAUAUAAAUAAUGUGUUAGUGAAUGAAUGUGGGGUGGUAUUAGUUAUGAGCACUUUUGAAGUGUGGGUGAGUGCAAUUAGAGAGAUUCAUAGUGUGUCAAGACUUUUUCUAUGGAAUGAUGGGGUACAAUUGAGAGGUUUUGUGGUUGUUUGUUUUGCACCAACCACUUGCCAUUUCAAUGGUGGAUGAGGAAAGGGACAUAAAGGGCUCUUUUUGAGGGAAUUGUAGAAUUGUUUUUGUUAUUGGGUUGGAAGGGACACCCUUCAUGCACUUGGUGUGAGAUUAGAAUUUCCAACUCAUCACUUUCACCUCAUCUAUUUUCAAAAUGGAAGAAAAAGGAGUUGAAGGAAAUAAGAGAAGAAGAAACUCCACCAUUGAAAUAACAUGGAGUUUUCAAACACAAAAGCAAAAUUGAUUCAUUGUUGAGAAAUAUGUUGAGUGGGUGGUGGUGGCAAUAGCAACAUAUGUCAUGAACCCACAAAGGCAACAAGAGACUCUCACAAACAAAACCUAAGACCACAAGACCAUACAAACACCACACACAAGAUGAUGUGAGAGUGCAGCCAGAAGCAUUGUUUGGUAAAACCAAAGCUGCUUCUCAAGGUUGCAGGAGGGGUAUGGCAGAAACGCAGCGCGCAGGGCGCGUAAACAUGUGAGCGCAUGAUGGAAGGCCGCCAAUCAGAUCUACCGCCGGUUUGCGAAGCAAGCGAAGCGUCAGAGCACAAUGUGUGU